Molecule: long non-coding RNA, 1283 nt
Filed under: Anas zonorhyncha (Eastern spot-billed duck)
Lineage: Eukaryota; Metazoa; Chordata; Aves; Anseriformes; Anatidae
Description: lncRNA (ENSAZOG00000018198.1)
Source: RNAcentral
GGGGACCUGGGGGCAGGGGGUACUGGGAACAGCGGGGGGGACUUGAAGAUGGGGAGGGGGCAGGGGACAGUGUGGGCCCCGCUCGCUCUGUCCCCCUUCAGUGCCCGGGGGACAGAGGUGGUGACCUCCAUGGUGGGCACAGGGGGGGCCCACGACCGUGUCCCUAUAUCACUGGCAGCCCCACGAAUCCCACCCGCUGCUGUCCCAGGGGGGUGACACCGCCACGUCACCAUGUCCCCGUUCCCCGUCACCUCACGUGGGCCCUUGAGGCCAGGGAGCUUUUUUUUCCCUCAAGAAAUGGCUGAAAUGGGGCUGCCUGGCGCCUCGGGCAAGCUGAUGUCCCCUGGCAGGGCAAUCUCGGCCCCUUUUUGCUGCGUGCCCUGGCCCCUUGUCACCUCCCUGGUCCCGGUCAUAUAGGGCAGAUGAGGGAUGGCGCCGUCCUGGCCCGGUCAGGACACCCCCAUCACCCCGAUCACGCCACGGAAAGGGGCAAGCUUUGGGGAUGUGCUGAGACAAAAGCAUUUUCCGGAGCCAUCUCAGCAGGGGAAUGAGCCCAAGAGAGGCCUUGGGUCCUUCCCUCAAAACCCCACACACAUUUGGGAUGUGACCAAAUGCCCUUCAAAACCAGGCGCAAUCAAUCCUGCUCCCAAAUCCUAAUUUCGGGGGCCCUCAGACUGCAUCUCGGUGUUCAGUGUGAGCUGCCGAGAUCAUUUCCAGCCUUCCUGGUGCCUGCCGUGUGCCUCAAAACCCCUCACGAAGCAUCGAGCGUCUCCCAGCACCGCCUCCGUGCGGGGCCGCCGGCAGAUGGAUGGCCCAGGCAGCCCAAAGCUGCGUCGUGUGUGCUAAAAAUACACCGAAACCCCAGAUAUGAAGGCCGGCAAAUCUCCUACACAAUUAAUAACGGGGUCAGAAGCCAUAUAGAUCCAGACAGAGCACAAAAUCUCUUCUGGGAGCUGGUCAGAGCUGCUCAUAGGGCCGGAAUAUCGCUGCCACAGGGACACGGCUCUGUCAGGGUGGGUCGUGCCAGGGGCUGUUUAUCCCGGAGCUGUUCAGCUCCUUUUACAUCUCCCACAGCCUCAGCUCCCGCUGUUAGGUGUUCCUGGCCUGCGUUUGGAGCCCCCUGGGAAAUAUCGGGUAGUUUUUGGCAGGUUCUUGGCAUCUGGGAGCGCUGCCAUCAGUGGGGCCUGGCAGCUGCCGCGCGGCCUGGGCCUCGCGUCGUUGCUGGGGGCCUUCAGAUAAAGCAUUUAUCAUGCACCAGGCGGAGUGUUCCUGCUGUAUUUUAG